Molecule: long non-coding RNA, 3120 nt
Organism: Crotalus tigris (Tiger rattlesnake)
Lineage: Eukaryota; Metazoa; Chordata; Lepidosauria; Squamata; Viperidae
Exons: 3
Source: RefSeq, a predicted model, not a curated record
GGAUGUUGAAAGAACACAAAUAUAAAUAAUAUCAGUACAAUAGAUGAACUGGAUCAGGAGUCUGUUUAAUGACUGCUAUAGGACUCAGACUAGAAUGGAAUGGAAAGGAAUCAGACUGGACAUGGAAUGAGUUUGAACAUUUAAACAAUGAGUCAGAGUCAACAUAUUGCCUGCAACAAUCUGGAUCCUCAUUUUACCAACCUCAGAAGGAUGGAAGGCUGAAUCAACCUUGAGUUGCUGUAUCUCCUCAAAAGGGACCAUCAGAAUGCCUGGACUUUCAGAGAAGAAAUAAUGGAUUGAAAGCAGCCCUGAAAAGUGGACCUGACAACGGCAGCAAAAUAAAAAGCUGAAGAGUUGUCUGGCUCUUUAAUAAUUCCCCUCUGGACAAGGAGAGAAUUGGGACCAUGCUUUAAGUGCUCAAGACAGCUGCACCCUGUGAGAAGACAACAAGUUAGCAGUCUUUGGCAGGUUUUAGAGUUCUGGGAAAGCAGAGGAAUAAAUGUAUUGCUCAAUCCAUGGUCAGCACCUUUGAAACUAAGUUUGCAUACUCAUUACUUUCAGAAAUUGCUUGUUAACUGCUAUUCGACUUUAGAAAAUUUUGGAUUGAUAGGUUUGAUUGCACUGGGUGAAUUUCCUUUAAUCCUUAGUGAAAGAAGUUUUAACUAUAAGAUUAAGAACUUUUUUUUCUGGUAUAAGCACCAAAAGAGUAAUUGAAACUAAAAAAGCUACAAAUGGACUAGGAUACAGAUAAAUUUGAAAUAAGAUUUUGGAAUUAAUUAUAAAGAAUCCUUCCUGUGGUAAAGUGCUUUAGUUUUGGUUAAAAAUAAUAAGAUUUUAAGAAGUGGACCCAGAGAACUAGAAGGAACUAAAGAUUACAAUUAAAAGAGGAUUCUUAAACGCAACCUACAAAAACUCUUAAACUCAACAGAAUGAAGCAAAAUAUUUUAACACUGGACAUCUAGAAGGAUAUUUUUGAACAAUGGACCCAGAAGUUAAUUUUAAUUCUGUCUAAUAAAUGUUAUGGAAGAGAAACAGGUUCUACCUGACAAGACUGAGGCUGAUAUGAAAAUGAUAUUUACACUGGACAUAGAAAAGGAAUACACAUAGUGUUUUGCAAAAUAGGGAACACAUGAUAGUGAUUUCUAUCCCAUCUCAUACUAAUGCUAUUCUGUCAUUGAAGGAAAAAAAGGCUCAUUUCUUGGUAGCAUUUUUAAUAUUUAGUAAGGUACUUUGCAUGGUUUAUGUCAUUAUUUAAAAACAAAAUAUUAGUAUGAUUUCUUACAAUGCUGAGUAUGUUACAGAGGCAUCCAUAAGAUCAAAAUCUUUCAUUAAAAUGAUGGAAACAGUGUCAUUUCAUCAUGACACAAGCUCUGACCCUUUUGUGCAUGAUGUCAUGAUUCACAGACAAAACAAGUGGUGCUGAUGUCAAGAUGGCAAAACCCUUGCCCACCUUUACCCCCAGGAAUUAUUUCUGACAGCUUUACCAAAAAAUGUCUCUUGAAAUAUAUUCUCCAGUUCCAAGCUUGGGAUUUUAAUAAAGGUACCCUCAGUGAACUUUGAUCCCUUUAUCCUUAUCCCAUUCCCCCUUUCUUCCCUUCCUUUCUGAAUUUAAACCAUGCACACACUAGGAGACAUGCAAUGACUUGGAUAAUCAGAGGGGAAGGUGGAACAGGAUGUAGCAACAGCUAUAUGCACCAUUGGAUCAGGAUGUUCUGCAGUUCAAAAAUAAGCCCUAUGCAGGAUAUUUAUUCUUCUUUAGUAGAGAUAAAACAAAAAGUGAUAAUGCUAUUAUGGUGCUUGCUAAUUAUUUUAUCCCUGAAACUUUUUUUAUUUCCUGAAGUGAAUUCAGAUUUUUGCAGAUAAUCAUAAACCACAUUUUUAUAUAAGGACUAUAAGUAAAGGAGCCCAUCAGGUUCCCUGUUAUUAAGGACUUUGGGAACAGUGGAUCAAAAAGUGGUAUAUAAAAAUGAGAAAUAAAAGUAACACAAUAAAUAAAUACCUUGGGGGUGGGGAGGAAACUGUUCUAUACUGUCCAAAGCUCAAAGAUAAUAUUAAGCAAACAGCUUGCAUUAUUUCACAGACUUAAUUAAUGCUGAAUAUAAACUAAACAUACAAUUAUGUUUUAAUUAUGUUUGUGGGGACCUUUGAAAAUAUUUAGUAGAUCUGGCCUAAGAAUCAAAUCCACAUUGCCCUGGAAACACUGCUUGGUCAAAAUCAUGCUGCAAAAAAACAAAUGUGUCAGAGAAAAUAUUUAAGAACUAGAAUGUCACCAUAUCAGCAAAGUAUUUUACAGUACCUCUAUAGGACAAUAAAAGCAACUAUAAAUAUAAAGCAAAAUCAAAUCUAAUACCUUAUUUGAAUUCAUAUUCACUCAGAGAAUUGCUUUCUUUUUGGAAUUAAUCUUUCCACAAAUUAUUCCACAGUUAACACUUAAGAAAGGUUUCAUUCAAUAAAUGGAAAAUAUACAAUGCAAGUUCAUGUUUUUAUAAGCAUUUUGAGAAAUCAACAGAUCAAUGAACUUUUUGUAUAUCUGUUUGGAUGGAAAGAUCAAUCUGUUGUCAAUCUGCAUAUGUAACCAGGGACCCAAAUCUUGUUUUAUUGUUUUAUAUCUCUCUUAAAGACUCUGUAAAAUAAUGCAAGCUGUAUGCAUGUUGAUUGGACAACAUAUUAAUCAGUUCCUCUUUGUAAAGUAACCGGAUAAUGGCUUCUUCUUGUUAAUGGUCUUAAUAUAUACACAUAUUUAUCUUCAUGAGCAAUUAUUCCAUCACUUUCCAUCAAAAGCAUGCAACAUUUCCAUAAGCAUUGUGACAUUGUCCCUAUUGGGUGCAUAUGGUUUUUGUUAUUCUCCAGGCUUUUAACAUAUUCAAGAAAAUCAAUAUCAGUUAUGCAAAAAUGUUUCAAUUAAUGAUGUAAUAAAAUGUUUCUGUGGUUUUUAAUAGUAUUUAUCUUAAAGACUGUGAGGAUAGUAUUUUAGUAGGCAAUCAACAAAACGUUGAGAGUGUGCUACCAGAAUAAAAGUACUUUGUUUCAUUAUGCAUGUUCAGAACCAGUUAUUUUUUCCCAUUUAACAGCAACUCUUCAUAAUCAGUACAAUUACAGACCAUGCAAUGUUCUCUUAAA